This 1921-nucleotide long non-coding RNA is filed under the name Bemisia tabaci. Its description in RNAcentral is "lncRNA ENSSSA1UGG001056". Lineage: Eukaryota; Metazoa; Arthropoda; Insecta; Hemiptera; Aleyrodidae. The record is from RNAcentral.
AAUCGAUAUAUAUUGCAAAUCAUGACUUGGAAUUUCGGUUAAACAUUCUUGAAAGUGUUAGGGAGGGUUUAGCAUCCACGGGUAAACAACUUAGCGCUGAGUCUCAACACGUUCGGUAAAAUGACGCCAUGCUAUUAUAGGCCCUACUGGCUGUAUACAGUUUUAUAGGACUGGAUCCUAAAGAUGUAGGGCUCAGCACUGCUGCCUGUAGUUGGUGCUAUCUUACCUUAAGUGUUAGGCUCCACGAUAAGUUGUUUUUUCCCUGUCGAAAUCUGAAUAUCAGUAUUUUUGACCUCGAAUCGGUUUGUUUUCUUGAUUAAAAAAUUGAGGUUUCCACCUGGAGGCACAUUUUACUCGACCUCUCCUCAUCUGUGGUUCACUAUCAGGAGAGGUUUUAAUCUUUCUCUAUUGUUUGUCUGUUAUUUAUAACGCAGGAAUAUAGCUGGCACUACGGCGUAACUGACCUAUCCUCGCGUGUAAUUAGUCAUUGCCUGAGGAACUGGGAGAAGCGUCUCAUAACUUUCAUCGCAACUCAGCAACUUUAUGUCAAUGACGUCCGAGUAACCCAUCCAGUUAGCACUAUCCACCCAACGAAAACACCUCCGAACUAAACGACAGAGAGUGGAAGGGGAACAAAGUUGCAGUUUUUUACGCGUUUUCUACCAUGCAAUCAGAGAGACUACAUUUCAGAUAUCCCGAACCGGGCACCGACCUAAACAACAGUCAACUUAAAAAUAAAAAUCCCGCGGGAGAGGACGAAUAUACUUCGCCGAUCUUUCUUCUGUUGGAUCAGAUUGGAAUCAUAUUCUUGUGGGAGUGCAGAGUCUGCGAAUUUUCAUUUCUAUCACGGCUCCCUUGGCGUGGGAGGAAAGAAAACAUUACAUUCUGAAAAAAGAUCGUAACAAAUAUACAAAUGUAAAUCGAAUUUUCUUUCUCUACCAACGGCAUUUGUCUUCAAUUAAUAUGUCUCAGAAUAAUCCAAGUGGGUGGGGGUUUGUGGUCAGGAUGUGAUUAUACUAAUAUCAAUUUGAUUUUUUAGAAAUAUCUUCUGUCUAAGAGUUUGCUAUUUAUUGCUUUUAAUAGGUAGAAAAAUCCGAGAGUUUCAGUUAGAAACUCCCAACAAUGGAGCUCUUGAAUGUGUGAGAGAUUUGCGAUUGAAGUUUUUGCCGAACGUAAAAUUUUGCGAGAGAUACAACGGUGCCACUAGUUUUCUCUGAAAUCAACUUCAAAGCUCAAAAACGAUCUUAAAGUUGAAGCCGUGAUGGAGGGGAUAUCCCACGAUACCCUGAGAGUUCAUCUCUAUAUCAAGACAAACUCUUAAUGCAAAUAUAGGAAGCAAAUACAACAGGUUUGCCACCAUGUUCGGGGACUCCAAAACUGAAAACACGGCAACCCUGUUAAUGCAUUUGCUCCCAUGCAAUCUUUGCAUAAAGGGUCUGUCUUGAUAUCGUAAAAAUGCUUAAAUCGCAAACACCUCACGCAUACAACAGCUCCAUUUCCCGGUGAACAUUCCAUUUUACAAGUGAAAAUGUUGCAAUUUGAAAUGUCGUUACGUUCUUUUGUCUGGAAAACAACGAAAUUUAAAAUCAAACUGAAUUAAUGGUGAUUUAAAGUUUGUCUUUCCAAGAACAUGACCUUGAGAGAGAGGGAGAGAGAGAGAGGGGGAGAGAGAGAGAGAGAGAGAGCUAUCUUUACUUCUAAUUUGCCAUAUUAAUGCACAAAAAGGCGAAAUCAUAAUGGAAAUUUACGGCUUCAAUCGGCACAAUUUUGACCCAUUCAGAAACAAUUAUCUGCACUGAAAUGUUUCCAUGUAUCAUUAAAACAGUACCUUUUUUUCAUGUUUAUUUAUUUUUAUUUUAAUACCUUCCUUACAUGUUUGCACAGUCCCAAAGCAAAUGAAAGCCGACUAGAAGAUUUACGU